RNAcentral lists this ribosomal RNA (390 nucleotides) under uncultured bacterium. RNAcentral's name for it is "bacterial SSU rRNA". It matches the Rfam family "Bacterial small subunit ribosomal RNA", at positions 30 to 420 of the family's 1533-position model. The record is from RNAcentral.
AUUGAACGCUGGCGGAAUGCUUUACACAUGCAAGUCGAACGGCAGCACGGGGGCAACCCUGGUGGCGAGUGGCGAACGGGUGAGUAAAGCAUCGGAACGUGCCCUGGAGUGGGGGAUAACGUAGCGAAAGUUACGCUAAUACCGCAUAUUCUGUGAGCAGGAAAGCAGGGGAUCGCAAGACCUUGCGCUGAUUGAGCGGCCGAUGUCAGAUUAGCUAGUUGGUGAGGUAAAGGCUCACCAAGGCGACGAUCUGUAGCGGGUCUGAGAGGAUGAUCCGCCACACUGGAACUGAGACACGGUCCAGACUCCUACGGGAGGCAGCAGUGGGGAAUUUUGGACAAUGGGGGCAACCCUGAUCCAGCCAUGCCGCGUGAGUGAAGAAGGCCUCGG